Molecule: transfer RNA, 106 nt
Filed under: Pseudozyma flocculosa
Lineage: Eukaryota; Fungi; Basidiomycota; Ustilaginomycetes; Ustilaginales; Ustilaginaceae
Description: Anthracocystis flocculosa transfer RNA-Ala(AGC)
Rfam family: tRNA
About the family: Transfer RNA (tRNA) molecules are approximately 80 nucleotides in length. Their secondary structure includes four short double-helical elements and three loops (D, anti-codon, and T loops).
Source: RNAcentral
GGGGGUUUAGCUCAGUUGGCAGAGCGUUCGCUUAGCACGGCACAGCAUCUCUGGAGCUGUUCAAGUGGUCUGCGAAAGGUCGCGUGUUCGACUCAUGCAGUCUCCA